ACGAACGCUGGCGGCAUGCCUAACACAUGCAAGUCGAACGAGACCUUCGGGUCUAGUGGCGCACGGGUGCGUAACGCGUGGGAACCUGCCCUUAGGUUCGGAAUAACUCCCCGAAAGGGGUGCUAAUACCGGAUAAUGUCUUCGGACCAAAGAUUUAUCGCCUUUGGAUGGGCCCGCGUUGGAUUAGCUAGUUGGUAGGGUAAAAGCCUACCAAGGCGACGAUCCAUAGCUGGUCUGAGAGGAUGAUCAGCCACACUGGGACUGAGACACAGCCCAGACUCCUACGGGAGGCAGCAGUGGGGAAUAUUGGACAAUAGGCGAAAGCCUGAUCCAGCAAUGCCGCGUGAGUGAUGAAGGCCUUAGGGUUGUAAAGCUCUUUUACCCGGGAUGAUAAUGACAGUACCGGGAGAAUAAGCGCCGGCUAACUCCGUG
RNAcentral lists this ribosomal RNA (432 nucleotides) under uncultured bacterium. RNAcentral's name for it is "partial 16S ribosomal RNA". It matches the Rfam family "Bacterial small subunit ribosomal RNA", at positions 29 to 507 of the family's 1533-position model. The record is from RNAcentral.